This 418-nucleotide ribosomal RNA is filed under the name uncultured bacterium. Its description in RNAcentral is "bacterial SSU rRNA". It matches the Rfam family "Bacterial small subunit ribosomal RNA", at positions 359 to 776 of the family's 1533-position model. The record is from RNAcentral.
GAAUUUUGCGCAAUGGAGGAAACUCUGACGCAGCAACGCCAUGUGUGGGAUGAAGCAUUUCGGUGUGUAAACCACUGUCAGCAGGGAAUAAAUGGUCGCUUCGGCGGCAGUUGAAUGUACCUGCAAAGGAAGCCCCGGCUAACUUCGUGCCAGCAGCCGCGGUAAUACGAGGGUGGCAAAUGUUGUUCGGAAUCACUGGGCGUAAAGGGAGCGUAGGCGGGCUUUUAAGUUAGGUGUUUAAUCCCGGGGCCCAACCCCGGACAGGCACCUAAAACUGGGAGUCUUGAAUAGUGGAGAGGACGGCGGAAUUGGGGGUGUAGCGGUGGAAUGCGUAGAGAUCCCCAAGAACACCAGUUGCGAAGGCGGCCGUCUGGACACAUAUUGACGCUGAGGCUCGAAAGCAUGGGGAGCAAACAGG